AGCGAACGCUGGCGGCAUGCUUAACACAUGCAAGUCGCACGGGCGGGGGCAACUCCGUCAGUGGCGGACGGGUGAAUAACGCGUAGGAAUCUAUCCUUGAAUGGGGGACAACCGUGGGAAACUACGGCUAAUACCGCAUGAUGCCUGAGGGCCAAAGACGAAAGUCGUUUGAGGAGGAGCCUGCGUCUGAUUAGGUAGUUGGUGGGGUAAAGGCCUACCCAAGCCUACGAUCAGUAGCUGGUCUGAGAGGAUGAUCAGCCACAUUGGGACUGAGACACGGCCCAAACUCCUACGGGAGGCAGCAGUGGGGAAUAUUGGACAAUGGGCGCAAGCCUGAUCCAGCAAUGCCGCGUGGGUGAAGAAGGUCUUCGGAUUGUAAAGCCCUUUUGGCGGGGACGAUGAUGACGGUACCCGCAGAAUAAGCUCCGGCUAACUUCGUG
This 440-nucleotide ribosomal RNA is filed under the name uncultured bacterium. RNAcentral describes it as "bacterial SSU rRNA". It matches the Rfam family "Bacterial small subunit ribosomal RNA", at positions 29 to 507 of the family's 1533-position model. The record is from RNAcentral.